This 297-nucleotide long non-coding RNA is filed under the name Capsicum annuum. RNAcentral's name for it is "long non-coding RNA (CANN_LNC005111)". Lineage: Eukaryota; Viridiplantae; Streptophyta; Magnoliopsida; Solanales; Solanaceae. The record is from RNAcentral.
UGGACACCCAAUUACCCUGAACCUAGACUUUUCUAUCAAGCUUGACAUGAUAGGACCCCAGGCCAAGUCUUAACGGGUAUAUCAAGCCCACUGAGGAUCGAAGACCACCCCCGUCGCCUGCUAAACCAAGAAAAAUCCAAAUAAUAAAAAAGUGGAAGACAACUAAAUAAUAAAGGAUAAACAGUUAAUAUUUCUCAAGAAUACACUCUAAGAGUCAACUACAACAUCCAACCCACAUAUGUCCAGAAAAGCCUCUAAACCAAACCAAACACCAAACUAGGUAGGAACAUGCCCCCG